UUAAGACCUAUUAUAAUGAAGCAGUUAUAUUAAGAAGUUUGCUCAACUUUUGAAGUCUUACAUGAUCUGAGUUCAGACCGGCGUAAGCCAGGUUGGUUUCUAUCUAAAUAAGAAUGAGAAAUUUUUAGUACGAAAGGAAUUAAAUUUAUAAAUUAUUUAGUUAAUUAUUUUAAAUAUAAGGUUAAUUU
RNAcentral lists this ribosomal RNA (188 nucleotides) under Alectorobius capensis. RNAcentral describes it as "Ornithodoros capensis partial 16S ribosomal RNA". The record is from RNAcentral. Lineage: Eukaryota; Metazoa; Arthropoda; Arachnida; Ixodida; Argasidae.